AUGUGUUUGAAGCAUGGGUUCCCAUCAGUUUCAGAUCUUUGUGGAAGCACUGCUCAUGAUGUCUGGAAGAACUUUUGGAUCAUUCUUGCCUCCAGCUUCCUCUCCCUGCCUGCAUGCAAGGGAUUACCACAGGUCAGCUUGCAGAGAGGUAUGGACAGACAUAGCCCAGAGUUGUGGCAGCCAUUAAUAGAUCAAACAAGCCCAUGCAGCUGUGUUUUGAUCAGUGGAAAGGUUUCUGGCAACCAAGAGCUGAAAUCACCUUUUGGGUCAUCACACCUCACUGGAGGUUUCCCUGCUUUAAUGAGCAUCUCAGAAACUGUAGAGAGGACUGGAGAAUGGGGGUCGUUGUACAUUCUUGUAUUUGAAAGCAGCUCCAUAGUAUCCGCAAGAGGAUUCUUGGCACCUGCCUAG
This 411-nucleotide long non-coding RNA is filed under the name Anas platyrhynchos platyrhynchos (common mallard). Its description in RNAcentral is "lncRNA (ENSAPLG00000020948.1)". Lineage: Eukaryota; Metazoa; Chordata; Aves; Anseriformes; Anatidae. The record is from RNAcentral.